RNAcentral lists this ribosomal RNA (588 nucleotides) under uncultured Glomus. Its description in RNAcentral is "SSU rRNA". It matches the Rfam family "Eukaryotic small subunit ribosomal RNA", at positions 624 to 1213 of the family's 1831-position model. The record is from RNAcentral. Lineage: Eukaryota; Fungi; Glomeromycota; Glomeromycetes; Glomerales; Glomeraceae.
AAGCUCGUAGUUGAAUUUCGGGCUUAUUAGGUUGGUCAUGCCUCUGGUAUGUACUGGUCUCACUGAUUCCUCCUUCCUUAUGAACCGUAAUGCCAUUAAUUUGGUGUUGCGGGAAAUUUGGACUGUUACUUUGAAAAAAUUAGAGUGUUUAAAGCAAGCUAACGCUUGAAUACAUUAGCAUGGAAUAAUGAAAUAGGACGUUCGAUCUUAUUUUGUUGGUUUCUAGGAUUGACGUAAUGAUUAAUAGGGAUAGUUGGGGGCAUUAGUAUUCAAUUGUCAGAGGUGAAAUUCUUGGAUUUAUUGAAGACUAACUACUGCGAAAGCAUUUGCCAAGGAUGUUUUCAUUAAUCAAGAACGAAAGUUAGGGGAUCGAAGACGAUCAGAUACCGUCGUAGUCUUAACCAUAAACUAUGCCGACUAGGGAUCGGAUGAUGUUAAUUUUUUAAUGACUCAUUCGGCGCCUUACGGGAAACCAAAGUGUUUGGGUUCCGGGGGGAGUAUGGUCGCAAGGCUGAAACUUAAAGGAAUUGACGGAAGGGCACCACCAGGGGUGGAGCCUGCGGCUUAAUUUGACUCAACACGGGGAAA